GCGAAAGCUGUUUUCCUCUUUACAAGGAUGGACGAAUGUUCGAAGCAGCGCAGAAAGACUGUGGGGUCCGCUCCACCCCGCAGGGACCACCUCCAGGGCGGGAGCCAGGUCCUGGGCCCCUCUCCGUGGAGGACGCUAUCCCUGGCCUGACCCUGUGGGAGGCGGGACCCUGGGUGCCCUUGUGGGGAUCUUUCCUGGAAGGUGCUUGUUGGGGUGCUUACGGCACUCAUGUGUGUGCACCUGUCUGUGUGGCUGUGUGCAUGUGUGCCUUCUGCACAUGUGGGCUUGUGUGCAUGUGUGUGCACGUGUGUGUCGGCCUUUGGUCUCAGCCCUGCUUCCAUAGUGACACCAUCACUUGCAGCCGAGGUGGUGGGGAAGGCAGGGUCCAUCCCACCCACCUUCCAGGCCAGAGGCCACCAGCUCACCAAGGGAUCCUGACCACUGAGACAGCCACGAGCUCUCCAAGACCACCCCCAAACCCCGUCCCUCGGGCCCUCCUUUUGGAGGGGGGGGCAUCUCCCUGGGUCAGAGGCCCGUGUGUCCCAGCAGAGCCUGAGGGCCUGGGCAGGAGCCUGCAAUCAGAGGACGAGUCCACCUCCUGCCACCCUGGAGCCUGGGAGAAGCCCCCGAGAGAGAGUGGGACGUGGGUGACCGGCCAGGACCCUGAAGCCUCUGUGCGGCUGGGGGAGCAGGGACAGCUAUGUUCUAACCGGCAUGUGGGUUAUGUCUCCCAAGACGUUGGGCCUCGCCACCUUCGUCCACCGUCCUUGGUCAGCAAAGCCUCAUUUCAGGCUGUGAGGGGUGGCUGAGGCUCGGGACGUGUGGAAGCUGCACCCUUGGGUGACCGCAGCUUGCCUGUGGGACCCUUCUGUUUCCAAACUGCCCGCUGACCCCAAGGACGAGCCUCCCUUGAAGACCUGCUGGGAGGAGCCCACAGGCGGUGAGGCUGUGGUCAGCGCCCCUGGGCCCAUCCUGACCCUCUGGAUCGUGGUCCACUCAGUGACCGGCUCCCGCUCCCUCCACCACCCCCACAGCAGUCAGCCCUGCCUGCAUACAGCCCGUCCUUCAGUGUCUGAUGAAUUUAUUAUUAAGUACACAACAACCACCUGAAGCUUAUGACAACUAAAGCACAAGAUCCAUUCCCAAAAAUGACUGCUCACCCCAAACCACCUGUUUUUGUAAGUCUCCAUGUUUGGCAGUCACACUUUCUAACCAGCUGCACUGCAGAGCCUCUGGAAGCACAGACCUGCCACCUGCGGCUGCCCCUCGACAGCGGGCGGCACACCAAGGAUUCUGGCAGCCCUUUGGCUCAGGGCCACCUGCUCUUCCCCGGAGAGCUGCACCUAAAUGACGACUCCCAUAGGGCGCUGUCAGUCACCACGGCCCCACCAGACACUGCAGCCUUGGCUAGCUUGUCUCGGGGGGCAGCGGUGAGUGUGGCCCCUCCACCUGCAGCCCCUGGGGCCCAGCUCUGGCAGGAACCCUGGGCCGGGGAAACUUCCAGAAGCUCCGCCCAGCACAGCAGCUGAAGUCAGCUGGGGACUGGAGCGAGGCUCCGGCCAGCCAGCAUGUUACUCUGGCUCCAUGCUGCAGAGACGGAGCACCAGGUGAGGGCUAGGCUAGGAAGCACCUGGCCCUCGCUGCAGGAACCUCCUGGGGCUGCUGCUCUCUGCACAUCCAUGCUUGCUGGGAGUGCCCACCCCUUCCUGCACCCAGGCCAGGUCGUUGACCGACCACCCUGCUCCAUGGGCAGGGUCCUUCUCACCAAGCAUCGUGGGGGUCACUGACCUGUGCUGCCAGAGUCCCCACUGCCGUCCAUCCUGCUCACCAAGGGGCCGCACUGUGGUCCAGCCUGUUCCCAGC
Molecule: long non-coding RNA, 1863 nt
Organism: Equus caballus (horse)
Lineage: Eukaryota; Metazoa; Chordata; Mammalia; Perissodactyla; Equidae
Source: Ensembl